This 557-nucleotide long non-coding RNA is filed under the name Gallus gallus (chicken). Its description in RNAcentral is "lncRNA (ENSGALG00010000835.1)". The record is from RNAcentral. Lineage: Eukaryota; Metazoa; Chordata; Aves; Galliformes; Phasianidae.
GGGUAAAAAUAGACAAAAGAUUGUUCCCAGAUUUAUUGAAAAUAAUGAUUUUCUUUAUAAGUGUGAAGAGGCUGGAUUCAUCUAACCUUCACUGGGAUUUAGAACAUGGAAAUGAUUUCAGAGAACAGAAUCUUCAUAUUAAGUUUCGUAACUGUAAAAAACAAAACAAAACAAAACACCAAGAUGAGUUGUGUGGUUGACAUGGAGGAAGGAAGGGAUGCCAUUCAGAGGGACCUUGACAGACUUGAAAGGACUUCUGUGAAAGAUCACCUUAACUGUAGGAUUCUUGGCAUUGCACUUAUAUUGUCAUUCAUCUUGACUGAAGCACAUUGCAAAGUACUGCAGAUGUAUUAGAUUUAUUUUCAAAAUGUAACUACUUAAUAUGCAACUGAAAUAUACAUCUUUUUUUUUUUAAUAAAUAUGUAUUUUUUACUACAGAUUCUGAUGUUGGCUCUUACUAAGAACCCUUUCAUGACAAAAUACUUAACUUUCAGCAGAUUUAUUAUUCUGUUCAGCAUCAUAAUUAGUACACAUAUUACCAGCUCAGCCUUCAAAAG